RNAcentral lists this ribosomal RNA (465 nucleotides) under uncultured bacterium. RNAcentral describes it as "partial 16S ribosomal RNA". It matches the Rfam family "Bacterial small subunit ribosomal RNA", at positions 338 to 795 of the family's 1533-position model. The record is from RNAcentral.
CCUACGGGAGGCAGCAGUAGGGAAUCUUCCACAAUGGGCGAAAGCCUGAUGGAGCAACGCCGCGUGGGUGAAGAAGGUCUUCGGAUCGUAAAACUCUGUUGUUAGAGAAGAAAGUGCGUGAGAGUAACUGUUCACGUUUCGACGGUAUCUAACCAGAAAGCCACGGCUAACUACGUGCCAGCAGCCGCGGUAAUACGUAGGUGGCAAGCGUUAUCCGGAUUUAUUGGGCGUAAAGCGAACGCAGGCGGUCUUUUAAGUCUGAUGUGAAAGCCUUCGGCUUAACCGGAGUAGUGCAUUGGAAACUGGGAGACUUGAGUGCAGAAGAGGAGAGUGGAAUUCCAGGUGUAGCGGUGAAAUGCGUAGAUAUAUGGAAGAACACCAGUGGCGAAGGCGGCUCUCUGGUCUGUAACUGACGCUGAGGUUCGAAAGCGUGGGUAGCAAACAGGAUUAGAUACCCCAGUAGUC